UACGAAGGGUGCAAGCGUUACUCGGAAUUACUGGGCGUAAAGCGUGCGUAGGUGGUGAGUUAAGUCUGAUGUGAAGUCCCCGGGCUCAACCUGGGAAUGGCAUUGGAUACUGGCUCGCUAGAGUGCGGUAGAGGGUGGUGGAAUUCCCGGUGUAGCAGUGAAAUGCGUAGAGAUCGGGAGGAACAUCUGUGGCGAAGGCGGCCACCUGGACCAACACUGACACUGAGGCACGAAAGCGUGGGGAGCAAACAGG
Molecule: ribosomal RNA, 253 nt
Filed under: uncultured bacterium
Lineage: Bacteria
Description: partial 16S ribosomal RNA
Rfam family: Bacterial small subunit ribosomal RNA
Source: RNAcentral